RNAcentral lists this ribosomal RNA (253 nucleotides) under uncultured bacterium. RNAcentral's name for it is "partial 16S ribosomal RNA". It matches the Rfam family "Bacterial small subunit ribosomal RNA", at positions 524 to 776 of the family's 1533-position model. The record is from RNAcentral.
UACGUAGGCAGCAAGCGUUGUUCGGAAUUACUGGGCGUAAAGAGUGUGUAAGCGGUGCUCUAAGUCUGUCGUGAAAUCUCCCGGCUUAACUGGGAGGGUGCGGCGGAAACUGGAAUGCUAGAGGGUGGGAGAGGAAAGCGGAAUUCCUGGUGUAGCGGUGAAAUGCGUAGAUAUCAGGAGGAACACCUGCGGUGUAGACAGCUUUCUGGACCACUUCUGACGCUGAGACACGAAAGCGUGGGUAGCAAACAGG